GACGAACGCUGGCGGCGUGCUUAACACAUGCAAGUCGAACGGAAAGGCCCUGCUUUUGUGGGGUGCUCGAUUGGCGAACGGGUGAGUAACACGUGAGUAACCUGCCCUUGACUUUGGGAUAACUUCAGGAAACUGGGGCUCAUACCGGAUAGGAGCUCCUGCUGCAUGGUGUGGGUUGGAAAGUUUCGGCGGUUGGGGAUGGACUCGCGGCUUAUCAGCUUGCUGGUGGGGUAGUGGCUUACCAAGGCUUUGACGGGUAGCCGGCCUGAGAGGGUGACCGGGCACAUUGGGACUGAGAUAGGGCCCAGACUCCUACGGGAGGCAGCAGUGGGGAAUAUUGCACAAUGGGCGGAAGCCUGAUGCAGCAACGCCGCGUGCGGGAUGACGGCCUUCGGGUUGUAAACCACUUUCGACUGUGACGAAGAGUGAGUGACGGUAAUGGGUAAAGAAGCAACGGCUAACUACGUG
This 468-nucleotide ribosomal RNA is filed under the name uncultured bacterium. Its description in RNAcentral is "partial 16S ribosomal RNA". It matches the Rfam family "Bacterial small subunit ribosomal RNA", at positions 28 to 507 of the family's 1533-position model. The record is from RNAcentral.